GGUUGGUCAGGCUGACCCCAGUAUCCCUGGCAUCCUAAUGUGGGCAAUUAUUGCUAUGGCUGGGCUCCGUCCAGCCCCAGGAAUGUCUCAAUAACUGCAAACAGAGAACAGCUGCUAGUUUACUCGUUCAUCCAAAAGUUGAGGCUUCACAGUCCUUUGCUGUCAGUGUCAGGUCAGCAUGGCACAGGGUCACUCCGAGGGACGCACUGGGCAGGGGAGGAUGCCAAUCCCUACUGGAUCGCAGCAUUGUUGCACUGAAGCUUUCAACCUUGACGUAUUAAGAGGAGAGGGCAUCUUGCAGGGAGUGUUGAUCCCUUAGUUAAGCACUGAAGAUGUUGCUAAGGGUACUUGUUUGCAGGGGAUGACUGUGCCCACCCUCUCUCCUUGAGGGAAGGAAUGUUGCCAAAAAGGUGUUGCAGGAAUAUCAAAAACUUCUCACUGCAUAAGCUAAGAAUGAAUAACACUUGGGGAAGGGAAGAAGGAAAGAUUUUCUUCUGAGAAAAAGGGGGGGUUGUUUCUAGGGGCAGAGUGAAGGUCCAAGCAGCCUUUCCUCCAUGACUGCAGAGCCAAGCCUGCAGGAAAGGUUGGCUGAACCACCAGAAGAAGCUGGAGCACCCUGAGUGCCAGGGCCUCCUUGGAUCUGAUCCAACAGUAGACAGAUAUCAGCAUGGUUUUCUUUAAAUUCUACACACCUGUCCCCACUACAAAGUAAUUUCAUAUUUAUCUGACAGAUAUUUACACCAGCACAGUGCCCAUCUCUGCCCAGGCUCGUACCAGGGUCUCCAGGCACCCCUGACAAGACUAAGGCUCUGGCAGACAAGCUGUGCUGUCUCUCAGCAGGAGUAUGCACAUUAUGUCUCCAAGAUCUACAUCCCAAUGACCUGUCUGUGGCUUUCACACCACUACAAGGAAGCACAGAAGGCUGGAAGGUGUUACACAUCAGAGAAUUCUCCUGCUAAAUUGAUGGUCUGCUGUGGUGUACUACAAACACAGGAAAAGCUGGGGAUGGGAAAGGUGCUUUCAUGUCUCUCCUUGCUUUGGUAGGACUGGUCAGCAUCAUUGCAGGAUGGUGAGGGUCACCUCUGGUCUUUUCCCCAUGGAAGCCAUGCUUUUGAAGAACAUUUUGAAGGGUUGGAUCUCCCCAUAAGUGGGGCUUGUUUGCAGUUUUUACUGUAUAAGACCUGAGGGAAAUCUGAAUUUAGAUAGUGCUGUGCAAACAGAAAAUAAGAACUAAUCAAAGUACUCACAAAAAUUGAUAGGUCAGCAUUUUAAACCAGUAGUUUCAUCCUUCAGAACAUGUUUCUACCAGUAUGGUGCAUGAUAUAACAAAUAGCUGGUCUAGGGUACAUAAAUACAAUAUAUUGUCACUCUUUCUUAGGUGUACUUGAGUAUCAUCCUGGAAAAGUUGCUUGUGCAGCUUUCACUUAACCUGUGGAUUAGGAGAAUUAUUUACAUGCUGGAGACUGGCUGGAAUACCUGCUCCCACCUGUGACAGGAGAGACAAUGCUCCAGGAACAUGUCUGGGCUGUGCACAGGAAAGGCUCCUGCCUGAAAGAUCACUGCCUGUGUGAUGUAGCUGGGAAGGAAAGAAGGGAAAGAGGAACAGUGACUUGCUAAAGUGACAGGCUGAAGGAGAUGGUGGCCCUACCAGAGAGUGGGGAUCUACCCUUGCUGAACUUGUGAUAUUUCUGUUUCUGCCACCAGCCCACCAACCCACAGGUCAUGUGCUGUCCCUGUCUCCCAGACACCCAGGAAGCAGGGAGAGCUAUGUGUGAUUUUGAAGCAGGCUAGGCAUGCAGAGCUGCACCAAAAUGUGCUCUGCACACUGAAAAUAUCCUGCCCUGAGCACCCCAGAUGAGAUGGGCAGAGUGACCCCAGCCCCCAUCAUUGCAUAGCUGAGAGGGGAGGCUUGCCUGUGCCUGCAAGGGAACAGAGGAGGAGUGUCAGCAGCAGCAGCUGCCACACGAACACCAUUGCAGAAGCACCUGUGAGGAAAUGAACCAUUACAAAGCCUGUGCAGGGAACACCUAGGUGCACACAACCAAGCCACGAACUGGAGGUGGACAGUAAAGGCAAAAAGGGGGUGAGUGAAGGGAAUGAAGGCUCCAGACCCACAGCUGAUGCAGGAGAGGAUGUCAGGUUAGAGCAGGGAUCUGGAGUGACCAGCAUUGCUGGCUGUGCUCAGCUUGCUUCUCCUCUCCUGCCACCUUCCUCCUCCUGAAAAUCCUCAUCCCAUCUCCGUGAGCAAACUGGUGUGUCAUGGUGCAAUUACAGGCUGUCAACCUGUGUCACCCAGAGGGCUAAGAGCAGCUUCUCUGUGGACCCUUGCAGCUGCUGCCCAUCCCAGUGAAUGUCUCACUCCUGGAAGGAAUAAGAGGUGUGUAAGGGGAGGAGGAGAAAGACUGGGCAGGAGUUCAGAGAACUAAACUGUAAAGUGAGAAAGAAUGAGGCAGGACAAAAGUGAAAAGUAAAUAAAGUCAAUAGAAAGCAGUAACUGCAGAACACUGAAAUGAAUUUGUAAAUCUUGGAAAUAAAAAGGAAAGAGUUGUUGUUAGAGCAGAAAGGAAGCUCGAGUCCUACAAAAACUCUCUCGUGUCUGUGAGAAGUUGAAGUCAAAGUGAAAGCCACACUGACCCUACUCCUACACUUGGAAAUGCUGCAGGAAAACACCUCACUGUGAGGAGCAGCUAUAACUGAGGACGGACAACCUUCAGGUGGGAAGGACCUGUGCUUUCCAGUUUUGCUAGGAGCUGAAGAACCUACAGGCAGCCACGGGAACAGAGGGAGAGGCAUCUAAAGGGACUUUGGACUUAGAUCCGACUAAGCCAUAUCUCCUGUGCGGGGAGAAGAAAUGGCUGGGGAUGACACAGAUACCAGAAAACCCAGAAGUGUAAGGAGCAUCCAGGGACACUGAGGCAUCUGACAAGCAGCACUACGCACCUCCGUGCUCCCAGCCUCUCCAUGCAGUGCAGGCGCUCCAGCACCGAUGGCUACAGCUUAAAUUUGAGUUUCGCACAAUGGGAGACCGCGCCUGGGGAAAGCCGGGCAGAAACAGCAGCUCCCCACACCUCCACGGGCGGGAGCGGCGCCGCACGGAAGGGAGCCCGGCCGCUUCCCAAGGAGCCUGCCGGCCGCGGAGCUGCUUUCCAGGGGAGGCCGGCAGAGGGCAGCUGCACCCUGCCGA
Passer domesticus (house sparrow) is the source of this 3184-nucleotide long non-coding RNA. RefSeq lists it as uncharacterized. The transcript has 3 exons. Lineage: Eukaryota; Metazoa; Chordata; Aves; Passeriformes; Passeridae. The record is from RefSeq and is a predicted model, not a curated record.